This is a non-coding RNA of Heterocephalus glaber (naked mole-rat), 124 nucleotides long. NCBI's taxonomy places the organism in Eukaryota, Metazoa, Chordata, Mammalia, Rodentia, Bathyergidae. The record is from Rfam.
GUCUAUAGCCAUACCAUCCUGAACGUGCCUGAUCUUGGCUGAUCUUGGAAGCUAAGCAGGGUCAGGCCUGGUUAGUACUUGGAUGGGAUACAUUUCAACAAAAAACGUUAAGAAGUUAUUAAAC